CUAUUUACUGAAAACCCUAAACCCUACUUUCCAUUCCACUCUCCCCCACGCCCAAAAUAUCCAGUUUCAUUACAAAAACUCCGUGCCCUCGAUCCACUCCCAUUCUCCAUCCAUAUUUUCUUGUCAGCAAUGGCUACGAAAUGCAGCCGAAUCAUCAACAAAGCUUCCAUUUCAACUCUUAGAUCCAUCUUGAAGAAAUCAAAUUCUCCUUCUUGUCUUCCCAGAACCUACACGUCGUCGUUUGCUAAACCAUCUCUGCCUUCAAAACCCGCCCCUUCAAUCUGGAGGUACUUAACCCUAUAGUGAAGAUUACGAUAUUGUUAUUUUGUUCUGUGAUUGAUUUUAUUUUAUGUAUGGAUUCUUGUUAGGUGUCCGGCAGAGCUGGGCUGCGUGGCGUCAAUGCUGCCGCUGCAUAGCGUGGUUGCUACGGCUAGGAUGACGUCAUGCCUGAGCUCAUCAUCGAGGAGUUGCAGGGCUCUUUCUCAGGGUACACUUUGCUGCACUUCUCCAGAUCUCUAGUAUGUGCCUUUAUGAUGUUAGUUGUGAAUUUUUCGCAUCAAGUUCUGUUACUAUUUAGUUUGUGGGCAGUGUUAAGGUUAAACUGCUGAAGAUAAAAUUGUAUUUGAAAUUAUAUAAAUCAUUUUUGGGAAGCUCGAGGAUAAUCAAGUGGUUUAUCUCAAAGAAACCAAAAUAUUGCCCUUAAAUUAUACUUGAAAAUCCCUUUAUUUUUUUUUUUGUAGAAUAAUUCCGUGUCAUCAGUAGGAGACCUGUUAUGUUGCUACUUACUGCUACUGCCAUGUAUCUGCUUUGUAUUCUCAUGCAUGACCUCUGAUUUCCUUAUACGUUGUACCUGAUAAAUUGUUCUGCCUGAGAUUUAAUCUACACAUAAUUCCAAGUAAGUCUAUGUUUAUAUGAUUCAUGGAAAGCCUAGCUUAAUCAUGAGAGUCACUGAUUGCACUUUUCAUUUCCUAGGUUUUUCAAUACUACCUCAACAGACACAUACUUUUUGUGAGUUUGGAAUGUGUGUUUAGGCGGAGAAAAGAGAGAUUACCGAUUUUAAGAUGACAAGAAUUAACUUGCAAUCUUCUAAAAUCAUUACUGUUAACCAAUGCAGUUCAAAUAUACCAGAAAAGUUAAAAGUUAUGGUUUUGAAUUUCCUCAAUCUGGAUAUCAAAAUGCUUUUUGAAAUGACUGUACCUUAUUGUUGAGUAAGCUGGUUUUUCACUUCAGAAACACUCCAUGACUUCAUGUUGCCUAAUUGCUUUAUAUUUUUAGUUAUGGAGUUGUUAUCCUAUCUCCUAAUCAACGUCCUUAAUGAACAAUUUAGGCAUAUGUUUUGGGGUAAAAGGCAUUGAAGCUAUCUGACUGGAAUAUUUGGUUCCUGCAGGCACAUGAAUUUCCAAAUGCUUGAAAGAAAUACCAGAAUUUUACAAGGUCUCUGUAAUGCUUCAUUGUGUUAUGCUCAUGUAUUAAAGCUUGGUUAACAAUUUUAUGAAACUGAGUUUUAUACUCGUAUUUUGGGGAUGCAGAGAACAAUAAAUGCAUGACUUAUCUUAUAUUUAAGAAUUUUUUUAACGCAAGGGACUUGGCUACAUUUUGGUGGACAAAUAAAAUAUCUGCAGUGAUCUUAUUUAUUGCCGAUUUAUAUAUAACACCUAGCUUUUAAUUUUCACGUCAUCGAUUUCAACUUUGACCUAUCUGCUAACUGUGUUUGGAGAUUUGUUUGUUAAUGGAAAUGUGUUGAAUUUUCAUACUCUUCGUUGACAUUGAAUUUGUUUGGUGCCUAAAUAACACAAAUUUCUGGAGAGAAGAAUUCUCUGCAGCGGAAUUGAUGGAACCAUUUGCGCGGCUGAAAAAUUAUUUGUCUGCUUAGUCAAAAUCAGUUCAUUAUGAAACUUAACCUAUAAAGUUUCUGUACCUUUUUUCUAAAAUUUAGUGUAGAUUUUUUAAAAGAAAUCCUUCUGAAGUAGUUCACCAAACUUUUAAUUCCCUCAUUCUAUCUCAAAAUGGGAUUUAUAUAUCCACUUAAAAAUGUUCUAGGAAGAGAGAGAGGUGACACAAUAACAGUAGAUUCAAAAGCAUGUGAAUUUGGUAUCAGCAUUUCUACUUGAGCGAUUGUGCAUAAUGCAUUAGUUUGAUAAGCCUGGUGACAAACAGUUCUCCUUUUUCCCAGAUGAAAUUGAUGGAACGUGAAACAUUUUUUCAAGAUGGGCUCCGUCAUCUGCUUGGAAGUUAAUUUCAAGGAUAUUUAUGCUACCUCUAUACUACAUGUCUCAGGAUGAAUCAACCAUCAACCUGCCAGAAUUAGCCUCUUCUUUGAUUUUCUAUUGAUUACUUUAGCUGUUUUUAGAGAAAGUUAAUAAACUGGGAUCGUUAAGCAUCAAUGAUUUUAUUUUAUUGAAUGCUUAAGAGAGAUUUUUUUUAUUUAUCAUCAAGUGGGUAUUUUGCUCGUAUUGUUUUCUUAUAUGAACUUUUUGUUUCUUGAAUUAGAGCUAGGCCUAUCAGUUCCAAGGUGACUUUGUUAGCAGACUGUCAGAGAGUUAUCUUCAUUUGAACGGAAAAAAGGGGAGGUUCUACUUCAUUUAUUCCAGCAUAUACAUUCAAUUUCUUAAAAGUUGCUUGAAGUUGUAGAAUUGAGUUUGAUUAUUGUAUGUUUCAUUUAAAUUGCUGGAAAUAGCCUUGUUAUUCAUGUUCUGAAUGUUGCCUUUUUGAGAUUUUUGUUUUAGUUUGAACUGAAAUUUAUUUGGGCAUAUCCUUGAAAUUUUUACCUUUUGAUCGAUUAUCAUUUGCAAAUCUAUUCUUGGGAUUUGGGUUGUUGAAGAUUAGUUCGAAUACUCAGUUCCACAUUUAGCGAUAAGUAACUCAUGAUUUG
Molecule: long non-coding RNA, 2872 nt
Filed under: Olea europaea subsp. europaea
Lineage: Eukaryota; Viridiplantae; Streptophyta; Magnoliopsida; Lamiales; Oleaceae
Source: RNAcentral